This 468-nucleotide ribosomal RNA is filed under the name uncultured bacterium. Its description in RNAcentral is "partial 16S ribosomal RNA". It matches the Rfam family "Bacterial small subunit ribosomal RNA", at positions 28 to 507 of the family's 1533-position model. The record is from RNAcentral.
GACGAACGCUGGCGGCGUGCUUAACACAUGCAAGUCGAACGGAAAGGCCCUGCUUUUGUGGGGUGCUCGAGUGGCGAACGGGUGAGUAACACGUGAGUAACCUGCCCUUGACUUUGGGAUAACUUCAGGAAACUGGGGCUAAUACCGGAUAGGAGCUCCUGCUGCAUGGUGGGGGUUGGAAAGUUUCGGCGGUUGGGGAUGGACUCGCGGCUUAUCAGCUUGUUGGUGGGGUAGUGGCUUACCAAGGGUUUGACGGGUAGCCGGCCUGGGAGGGUGACCGGCCACAUGGGGACUAAGAUACGGCCCAGACUCCUACGGGAGGCAGCAGUGGGGAAUAUUGCACAAUGGGCGGAAGCCUGAUGCAGCAACGCCGCGUGCGGGAUGACGGCCUUCGGGUUGUAAACCGCUUUCGCCUGUGACGAAGCGUGAGUGACGGUAAUGGGUAAAGAAGCACCGGCUAACUACGUG